RNAcentral lists this ribosomal RNA (431 nucleotides) under uncultured bacterium. RNAcentral's name for it is "bacterial SSU rRNA". It matches the Rfam family "Bacterial small subunit ribosomal RNA", at positions 958 to 1392 of the family's 1533-position model. The record is from RNAcentral.
AACGCGAAGAACCUUACCAAGGCUUGACAUAUAGCGAAAAGUGGCAGAGAUGUCAUGUCCGCAAGGGCGCUAUACAGGUGGUGCAUGGUUGUCGUCAGCUCGUGUCGUGAGAUGUUGGGUUAAGUCCCGCAACGAGCGCAACCCUCGUUCUGUGUUACCAGCAUUCAGUUGGGGACUCACAGGAGACUGCCGGGGUCAACUCGGAGGAAGGUGGGGAUGACGUCAAAUCAUCAUGCCCCUUAUGUCUUGGGCUGCACGCAUGCUACAAUGGCCGGUACAAAGUGCUGCGAGAUCGUAAGAUUGAGCGAAUCACAUAAAGCCGGUCUCAGUUCGGAUUGAGGUCUGCAACUCGACCUCAUGAAGUUGGAGUUGCUAGUAAUCGUAGAUCAGCAACGCUACGGUGAAUACGUUCCCGGGUCUUGUACACACCG